RNAcentral lists this unclassified non-coding RNA (405 nucleotides) under soil metagenome. RNAcentral describes it as "partial contains 5.8S ribosomal RNA, internal transcribed spacer 2, and large subunit ribosomal RNA". The stretch from base 1 to 121 matches the Rfam family "5.8S ribosomal RNA", at positions 35 to 154 of the family's 154-position model. The record is from RNAcentral.
GAUGAAGAACGCAGCGAAAUGCGAUAAGUAAUGUGAAUUGCAGAAUUCAGUGAAUCAUCGAAUCUUUGAACGCACCUUGCGCCCUUUGGCCAUUCCGAAGGGCAUGCCUGUUUGAGUAUCAUGAACACCUCAACUCUUUAUGGUUUUCCAUGAUGAGCUUGGACUCUGGGGGUUUUGCUGGCUCACAGUCGGCUCCUCUAAAAUAAAUCAGCUUACCAGUGUUUGGUGGGUAUCAUGGGUGUGAUAACUAUCUGCGCUUGUGGUUUUUCCACCAGGUAACCUUCAGCAGUGGAGGUUCGCUGGAGCUCAUAGACGUCUCUCCUCAGUGAGGACAGCCAUUUGAACGUUUGAUCUCAAAUCAGGUAGGACUACCCGCUGAACUUAAGCAUAUCAAUAAGCGGAGGA